ACUGUAAGGAAGGCAAAUGUUACAUGUUAAUAUUUCCAUAAAACCGGAGCUUAAGAAAAUCAAAGGCACUUUUUACUUGACUUGGAAUGAACAAAAUUAUUCUGAAGGCUUCUCAGAGCCUUAAGAUGAUUCAAACCUAUUGUUUCUGAUUUUCCAUUGUGGUGACUUCUACGGAGAUAACUAUCAUUUUAAUAGAACAAAACCAGAGCAAAGCUCAUGACAUUACAGGAGGAGCAGAGUUCUAUCAUGUAGAAGUUCAUUCACCCGAGCAUGCUUCCUUAUCAUCAUCUCAUCUUGUGCCGGUAUACAAGUAAGAUCAGCCAGCUGCUGAAAUCUCUAAGGAAUAUCUCUCCAUGGAGACAGAGCCAGACGGCCCAAGUCUCUUCUCUGUUCUUGAGUUCCUGUUUUCAAGUAAUGAUUUGGAUAAACUGGAGACCAGUUUCCUUUCCUCCAACUCUGGCAGCUGAAAUUAAUUCUCCAAAGACUCCUCUUUGGAGGCAAGCAGAUGAUAAAGUUUGGAAAACAGAAACUCAGAACAACUGAAGAGAGCCUCAGAAAUCUCAUCUUUUUGAUAGAACACUUCCCUUAGGGACUUUAACAAUUGCUAUGCAGAAUCAACAAAUAAAUAACUUUCAGUGGUGUUUUGUCUCUCUUGAUUUCAACCAUUCAAGUGAUGUGACUUCUACCACUUCCCUUGAGGGGUAAUUCCAUAUUCCAGCAGUUUUCACUGUCAGGAAGUUUCUCAUGCGCUCUACCCAAGUUGUCUUUUCUCUAACUUCCUUCCAUUUCUGAGUUACACCAAAUCUGAACACAUCACUAAAUGGCUUCUCAUUUCUAGUGAGGGCUUACACUUUUAAACAUUUGGCUGACUAGUGUUUUAUUUCUCACUUUCCCAAGAGUUAUAUAUUUACCUCCAACACACUUCUUUCUUCAGUCACUCUACUGUCU
This 948-nucleotide long non-coding RNA is filed under the name Homo sapiens (human). RNAcentral's name for it is "HSALNT0008933". Lineage: Eukaryota; Metazoa; Chordata; Mammalia; Primates; Hominidae. The record is from RNAcentral.